Molecule: long non-coding RNA, 351 nt
Organism: Oncorhynchus keta (chum salmon)
Lineage: Eukaryota; Metazoa; Chordata; Actinopteri; Salmoniformes; Salmonidae
Exons: 5
Source: RefSeq, a predicted model, not a curated record
CUGUUAUAGAAUGUUGUAGUGUCAUGUUAAUGAGGUUCUAACAUGGCUGUUAUAGAAUGUUGUAGUGUCAUGUUAAUGAGGUUCUAACAUGGCUGUUAUAGAAUGUUGUAGUGUCAUGUUAAUGAGGUUCUAACAUGGCUGAUAUAGAAUGUUGUAGUGUCAUGUUAAUGAGGUUCUAACAUGGCUGUUAUAGAAUGUUGUAGUGUCAUGUUAAUGAGGUUCUAACAUGGCUGUUAUAGAAUGUUGUAGUGUCAUGUUAAUGAGGUUCUAACAUGGCUGUUAUAGAAUGUUGUAGUGUCAUGUUAAUGAGGUUCUAACAUGGCUGUUAUAGAAUGUUGUAGUGUCAUGUUA